UCACGGCCAAUCCCAAGAGGUAAUGGCAGAACCUGCUCCCCAAGGCGAUAGGAUGUGACAACGCCAACUCCGACGAACGGGAUCCUUCCGAUGAAGGAAGGCUCAACCGUUGUGAUGCCGGAAAAGGCUCGAUUCACGACGAUUUAUCAUUGGAUUUUACGAAAAUUAAAUUUUUUCGCCCCAAAGUUUUGUAAUUCGUCGAUGUAGAAAACGAUCAAUCAAGAAAAUUGGUAAUUCGAGAUGGGUGUGACUCGAUAUCUAAAAGAAAAAAGUAAGAAAAAAUUGAGGCGUGGAAGAUGAAACCCUAGAGAGUUGCAGACGCUGAAUAGAAAGAGGCAUGGAGCUUAAAAUAUAGGCCGGGGAGUGCGUUGCAAGCCGUCCGAUUUGGCUGAUCUACUAUAACGAUGAGAGUAAUCGGACCGUUGUUAUUAGGGCUUUUUUUUGGGGGGGGAGAAAGUGGGGGCUUGGAAGUUGGACAACCCGACUCUUCAUGAAUUUUUGAAUGAGAGUUACUUAAUUCUUUCACAUAAAACAUCGUAUAAACUAAUUUUAAUCGUUUUUUUAUAUGCGUUUCUAAAACAAUUAAUAUUCAAAAAAAAAAAAUAAUGCAACAAUAGAAGGGAAAUUGGUAAUUAACUUUUGAGUAAAUUACACGAAUGGUGCAUAUGGUUUAGGAUAAUUUGGAUGAAUGGUUCAUAUGGUUUAAGAUAAUUUGUGUGUUUGUUUUUUAAGUUUUUUUUUUACCCGUAAGAUCUUUAUUGUUUGUUUUUUGUUAUACGUUUGGUCCAUGUCUUAUCUAAAAAUACUAUUUUGCCCUUUAUUUUUUGAUUUAUUUAAAUAAACACACCCCUAACCCCAUCUCAUCACUUUACCUUACUUACUCCAUCAUUUUUCCCUAUUUAAAUAAUAGUAUUUUUAAGUAAGAUAUGGACUAAGUGCGUAACAAAAACAAACAGUAAGGAUCAAAAGCGUAACAAAAACAAAUAGUAAGGGCCUCCCGAGUUAAAAAAAUCAAUUAAGGACCAAGCACGUAAAUUACCCCAAACCAUAGGGACCAUUCGUGUAAUUUACUUUUAACUUUUCGAUUUGUUUAUAACUAUUUUUUCUUUUUUUGUACACAUCUAAGCAACAAAUUUUUUGAAAGCGUUCACAUAUGACCAUUAUGACCGGCUGUAGCAGAUUACAUCCGAUCAUAAUUGUGAUAUGUGAACACUUUCAACAAAUUCGUUACCUAAAUUUGUACAAAAAAAAAGUUAUCCAAAUAUCAGCAAAGAUAAGAAUAAAUUACACGAAUGGUCCCUAUGGUUUAGGCUAAUUUCCGUGUUUGGUCCUUAACUUUUUUUAACUCGGAUGGUCCACGCUAUUUAUUUUUGUUGCGCGUUUGGUUAAUAUCUUACCUAAAAAGACUAUUGUGCUCUUAAUAAUUUAUAUUUUAAUUAAUUUUUUUAUUUUUGUAUUUAUUUUUUAUAUAUUUAAAGAAAUUAAUAGACCCCGCAUAUUUGUAUUUCAUCAUCCUAAACCUAAAACCACAUUUGAGAAAUUUAAUUUGGGUCCUACCAGCCGCCAUCCUAUCUCUCAUCCUCUUCAACUUAUAUUUUCUUUCCAUCUUUAUUGACAUCGACGUCUUCACCAUCCAUUUGUUUUGGUUCUUUAACUUCGACGCACCAACACCACAACCCACUGUCUCUAUAAGGUCACACAUAGAUCAGUUUUAGCAUCUACAUCUAUAGCGUCAGCAUAUCAAGCUUAUCGUCAACUUACAGUUCGGUUGUCUGAUUGUAAUCUUUUUUAUAUUAGGUAAUGAUAUAGAUAAUGUAACAUCCAUAAAAUUCAAGCUAGUUUAAAAAAAAUUCAACCAAUUAUAAAUUGAAAUUAUUACAAAGUGUUUUCAAAAUAGUUUCAUAUCAGAGUUCCCAAAAAUCAUAAUCAUAAAUCGAGGAAGUGUACGGUCACGCCUUCAACUUCUCGCGGUCAUCUGUUGUACCUGAAACAAUAAUCAAUAAAUGUAAGCUCGAAGCCUUAGUGAGUUACCCCUAAAAUACCAAAGCCAUGCCGAUAUAACAAUAUCAUAUAAACAUAUAAGCAAACACAGCACAACAUGCAUCUCAAGUUUACAGUAUGACUGGUCCGCCCGCACCGGGCCUUCAGUCCACCUGGUCCACUCUCUGAGUAUACAGUAUGACUGGAUCGCCCGCACCGGGCCUUCAGUCUAUCUGGCCCACUCUCCGAGCCUCGGCACGUCUGGACCGCCCUCUCGGGGCCUUCAUCCUAUCCGGACCGCUCGUCCGGCCUUCGGCCUAACUAUGUAACCUCCCGGGCCUGCAGUCUAUCUGGUCCGCAUUGGGUAUGUUGGCCUACAGCACGAAGCAGGACCCGCCUCAACCCAAUCCCCCAUACCAACAAAUAAUCAUGUGCACAUAAAUAUCCUACGCUAGCAUGUAUAUAACAAAUAAUCAUAUCGAUCUAACUGAUCACUAACACGACAACCAUCCUAUAACCAGGACACCGACCUAACUGAUCACUAACAUAGCAUCAUCCUAUAUAUCAGGAUACCGACCUAAACCAGGUCACUAAACAUGAUACCAUCCUAACUACCAUGAUACCGACCUAAAUCAGGUCACUAACAUAAUACCAUCCUAACUACCAAGAUGCAAAUCUAGCAGAUCAAUAAACACAUCAUGCAAAUACCUGGAUACAAAUCCGAUAAAGGUUCGGCCUUGGUGUCUUAGACCCUGUUGAUAUCUUGAGGAUAACUCACCUCGCAAUGUCAAUCUGAACUGAAGAAUUGAACUCCCGAAUCGUUGUCUCACCAAAAAUCCCGAACUAUCCAAAUAAUGAAUAUUAAGUUAAUAAAUGAGAAUACUAAUCUUGACUAAGAAUCCACAUAGUCCAUUUCGCCUUUUUAUCUAAUUUGGGCCAAGGCCCAAAAUCAAAUUCACUAUCUAAAAGUCUUUAUACAUAAGCCCAUUAAUGGCCCAAUUUUCCAAAUUGGGCCCCUAUCCCUAAUUGGGCCUUGUUAUAUAAUCUAUUACCAAAACUGGCCCAAAACAUCAUGCUCAAAAAGUCCAGCAAGGCCCAUGUCAAACUGACCCAAGAGUGGCCCACCCCCGAAGCCCAAAAUAUGAAAAGCCCAAUAGAGGGCGUACGCGGGGCGUACUCCUUUGGUACAUUGGGCGUACUCUUCCUGACGUUGACCACCAUCGGGGUGGUUGAGCUAGUAUGAUGGGCGUAUGGGAUUUACUCGGGACGUAUGUAGGGUUUUGCCAAAACCCUAAUAAUUGCUUAAUGGCUUAAGCACUUAAGCCCAAACUUCAGACCCAUUGACCAAAAUUGUUUUGGAACCAUAAAGUCUCGAACUUUAUCACUUUGGACGUCCAGAAAGCUCUUAAUCCAUGGUCUUAAUCCAUUAAGACCUUUCUACUACAAGCAUGGGACAUCUUAAGCCAUUGGGACCCCAUUUAUCAUUUAGGACCUCUUUAAGGGUCUGAAAGGACAACUUAUCUUGUCCAGGUCACAUCAUGCACCAACUUGGGACUUUUAGGACAAGAAAUGGUUUCUUGAAGCUAAAAUGGCAAGAUCUAUAACAUACAUGCAUAAAGUUUGAAGCUUUUUACCUUAUGGAGUUUCCAGGGCACCAAACAACUUCAGAUCUACUAGCUUGUUCUCCUUCUCCAACUCCUUGAUGCAACACCUUAUUCUCCAACUACUCAAAAUGCACUCUAUGAGCUCACACACUCAAGGAAAUGAUUAGGGUUUGGGGAAAACGACUCAAAACAGUGGAGGCCGAGGUAAGGGAUAGUUAUGAGCUCAUAAGGAUGCUUAUAUAUCACUCAAACCCUAAAUAUUAGGGCUUCCUUCUGACGUGAGUACGCCCAACGUACUAGGGCGCGCCUAGUAUGCUCAGCGUACCCUUAUGUACGCACAAUGUACUUCUCCUGGUCCCAGAAUUGCAACUUAGCCUUAGGCUUUUCAUGGAUUUACCCUUCCAUCCCCAGGGACUAUAAAUUGCAAAUCUUGGGAUGUUACAGAUAAGUAUAAAAUAGAUCACAAAUCCGGUAUCUUUGUGAUAAUAUUGGUUCUUAGUAUAGAUUAGACUCAGUCCCUUCAAAGGGAUAUACAUGCAUAGAUUAGUAUAUAUACAACCUUAGGGCAAACCCCUAAUGUUGUGUUCAUGGCUUUGUGUCAAUCACCUUUAUGACAAACCCCUAUUCUUGGUGAAAGAACAAAUUAGAGAACUUAUGUGUUAUUUACUUUCUAUUUAUUAGUUUUCUUAGCUUAGUUUUAUGUUUGUUAUUCAUACUUAAAGUUUGUCUGAUCAAUACAAACCUUCAAUUGGUAUCAGAGCGGGUUUUUUUAUAAACUCAAGUAAUCAUGUCGACUUCAAGCAAUUCCAAAUCUUUUGGUCUCAAUAAAAUUCCUCCCUUUUAUGAGCACAACUUCGUCAUGUGGAAAACCAAUGCCAUGGUGGUUCUUGAAACCAUGGACUAUGAGAUGAAAAAUAUUUUUGAAAAAUGUCCCCAUGUUCCUAUGUACCAACCCAUGGUCAACAACCCUCCCGUUGGCCCCUGAAGUAAAAGCCAUAGACGAUUUAUAAUGACGAUGACAAAAUAUUGCUUAGUAUUGAUGUAAAAUCCAUGGCUUAUGAAUCAUCUCAUACAAAAUUGUGAAUUAGCCCAAGAGAUGAUGGACAUGCUGAUAGUGGCUUAUGAAGGCAUUGUGGAAGUUUAGGUUACAACCAUUAAUACUAACAUCCAUAAAAUUCGAGUCAAUUUAUAACUUUUUAAAUCGUUUAAAACCAUUCAAUGAUUGCAAUUUGUUUUCAAAAUAGUUUAAACAUCAGAGUUCCCAAAAAUCUAUCGAGGAAGUGUACGGUCAUGUCUUCGCCUUCCCGCGGCCAUCUGCUGAACUUGAAACAAUAAACUGAAACUGUAAGCCUGAAAGAUUAGUGAGUUAGCCCCAAAAUACCAAUCCCAGACAGAUAACCAUAUCAUAUAAACAUAUAAGUAAUAGAACAACCAUGCAUCAAGAGUCGACUGGUCCUCCCGCACCGGGCCUUCAGUCCACCUGGUCCACUCUCUGAGUCUACAAUAUGACUAGACCACCCGCAUCGGGCCUUCAGUCUAUCUAGCCCACUCUCCGAGCCUCGGCACGUCUGUACCGCCCUCUCGGGGCCUUCAGCCUAUCCGGACCGCUCGUCGGGCCUUCGGCCUGACUAGGUGCCCUCCUGGGCCUACAGUCUAUCCGGUCCAUCCAGGGUAUGUUGGCCUACAACACGAAGAAGGACCCGCCUCAACCCACCCCCCAUACCAAUCAAACAAUCAUGUGCACAUAAAUAUCCUACGCUAGCAUGUAUAUAACAGAUAAUCAUACAAAUCUAAUAGAUCACUAACACAACAACCAUCCUAUAACCAGAAUACCGACCUAACCGGUCACUAACAUAACAUCAUCCUAUAUUCCAGGAUACCGACCUAAACCAGGCCACUAAUAUAAUACCAUCCUAUCUACCAGGAUGCAGAUCUAGCAGAUCAAUAAACAUAUCAAGCAAAUACCCGGAUACAAAUCCGAUAAAGGGCCGACCUUGGUGCCUUAGACCCUGUUGAUAUAGUGAGGAUAACUCACCUUGCAAUAUCGGACUGAACCACGAAAUCACGCUCCCGAAACACUGACCCAAACUCCAACACCUAUUACUAUCAAUGAUCCAAUUCAUAAAUACCCGCUUACCAAUUAUCCUCAAAAGUCAAACUGGUCAACCCUUGGUCAAAGUCAAAGUUAACGGUCAAGGUCAACAGUCCAUGUUGACCUCAACUCAUCGAGUACCAUUAGCUACUCACCGAGUUCCUUGCAUAACUCGCCAAGUCACUAGAGUGACUCAUUGCGUUCCCAAGGUUUGCGGUCAUAAACUCCUUGGUCGACUCGUCGAGUCUCCCAUGCAACUUGCCUAGUUCAUACAUGUCCAAAGGUUGGGAAAACCGUAGCUGACUCACCAAGUCACUCAUCUGACUCGCCGAGUCCACGACAAUCUUCAUCGGACUCGUCGAGUUAACCAUGCAACUCGCCGAGUCCCUUUAGUCCUUCAUCCGUACAGAAACUUCUUCGUGAAACCAAGGCUCCAAAAUAUAGAUCUACGCUCCUAGAGUGUUGUUAUCACGUAAAGUUGCUAACUUUACAUGCAUGCAAGGCUCUAUGGAACUAAAACACUCAUAACUAGCAUUAGGAGAAGGUUUUGCACAUGAAGGAGGGUCAAAACUUCAUAAAGCUUGAGGCUUUCUAUCCACAAAGCCUAGGGGAGUCAAGAUCUGAAACUUUGCCCUUGUGACAAGUUCAAAACCGAAAAUGACUCUAUCUUGCCCUAGAAAUGACCAUUUUCUUCCACAAAGGGGAGAACUAAGCAAUGAAAAGUAAAUGUGGUAGCUUUAUACCUUAAUCUUGAUGCCACAAUAUUGGAAAGGUUGGAUUUACAAGAUCUUUCUUGUCUCAAGCUCUCAACGCUUCAAGAAAUGCUCCAAAACACUCUCUUUUGGUCUCACGCACUUAAGAAUAUAUACUAGCUGGCUAUUAGGGUUUCUCUGGACGUGAAGGUGACAAGGGAGGUUGGGAAGGAAAGUUAAGGACCUUUAAAUAGGGUGUAAAACCCCAGAAUUAGGGUUUCAUCCUCCAGCUCCUACUCGUCGAGUCCCUUCUUGGACUCGGCGAGUAGGUCGCUUAAACACGUGGACCAACCCGCUGCUACUCGGCGAGUCAGGCAAAUAACUCAUCGAGUAGACCUUGAAAUCAUGAGAAAUAAUAACCUCAAACUGAUACUCGGGAAUCGGGGCGUUACAAUUCUCUCCCAAUUGAACUAUACUUCGUCCUCGAAGUCUGCUGCGGUGAACAACCUUGGAUAGUGCUCCCGCAUCUCUGCCUCCGGCUCCCACGUCCACUCGAACCCCCUUUGAGGCUCCCACUGUAUCUUUUCCAAAGGUACCUCCUUGUUCCGCAAAACCUUCACCCUUCUCUCCAGAGUGGCCACAUACCUCUCAACAUAACAAAGGCGCUCACCGACCUGAAUGUCAUCCAACGAUACUACCGCCUCCUAAUCCCUGAUGCACUUUCGCAACUGCGAAACGUGAAAGAUGAUGGGGUUUGAGCAUUCUAACACUCCUAUGGUGUACAUGCAACCCUAUAAACCUUGGAUCUAUGUUUUCUCUAUUAUACAUGCAAAUAUUUGAUAUUCCAAGGUUUCACCCUAACUAGCAUAAUAUGAAGCAGCUAUACUACAAAAGCCUAGUUAGAUGACAUACCUUUUGAUGUAGCUUGAAGUCUUGAACUUUAAGAGCUUAGCCCCAAUAGUGUGUAAGCCUCAAGUGGAAUCACAAAUUACCAAAAACACCUUGGAAAACUUGAGAGAAUAGAAUGCACAGUAGAAAUUGGCCCACUCUUGUAUCCUCACACACUAGUCCAUUUCAUGUGCCAAAGACCUCUUUAUAUAGUAUGGAGGAUUAGGGUUACAUUCAUGUAAACCCUAAUACCCAUUACCUUUCAUUUCCAUAGGAUCCAUGGGUUAAAAACUCCAUGGAGUAUCCAUGAAAGCUUAGCUGUAACAACGGAAAUUUUUAAACAAAUUUUUCAUUUCUAAAAAUGUAUUUUCAUCCCAAACAAGGCAUAAAUAUCCAACGUAUCAUGUCAUAAUACAAAUCAUAUGAAUCCCAAGAUCAUAAAUCAUCUAUCAGUGUGUACAGAUCAUGUCGGCGCCUUCCCACGGUCCUCGCUAGUACCUGAAACACAUACACAACAACUGUAAGCAUAAAUGCUUAGUGAGCUCCCCAAAAUACAACUUAUGUGCAUACGCCUUUCCAGGCCCUGAUCUUCCGGUCCAUGUGUCUCAGGGGACUUCCGUCCCUGCUGGGUAAACCUUCCGGUCCUACCCACGCCAACCCCUCGGUCCACAUUACAACGCCUUCCGGCCCAUAACAUAUUCGCCUUCCGGCCCAUAACAUAAUGCCUUCCGGACCACAUUAAGCAUAUCAUACAUAGCACAUAACAAUUAACUUAUCACAUAUAACACAUAUGUCUCAUAUCAUAUUCGACCUUCCAUUCACACAAUCAGACCCUUCCGGGUACAAUAUAGUGAGAAGACUCACCUCGUGAAUAUCGAUAGCUAGCAAAUCCCGAAAUCACUCGUGCUCGAUCCUCCGAGCUACAAUCUCCCUAUAACAUCAUACAUCUCUUAUUAACACUUUUACCACUAAGGUUGACUACCCUUUUUAAGUCAACACUAGUCAACUCUUGGUCAACGGUCAACGUUGAACGGACUCGGCGAGUGCACUAGGGCGACUCGGCGAGUCUAGACGUUUUCACCAACUUUCUAGGAUUCCCUUNNNNNNNNNNNNNNNNNNNNNNNNNNNNNNNNNNNNNNNNNNNNNNNNNNNNNNNNNNNNNNNNNNNNNNNNNNNNNNNNNNNNNNNNNNNNNNNNNNNNNNNNNNNNNNNNNNNNNNNNNNNNNNNNNNNNNNNNNNNNNNNNNNNNNNNNNNNNNNNNNNNNNNNNNNNNNNNNNNNNNNNNNNNNNNNNNNNNNNNNNNNNNNNNNNNNNNNNNNNNNNNNNNNNNNNNNNNNNNNNNNNNNNNNNNNNNNNNNNNNNNNNNNNNNNNNNNNNNNNNNNNNNNNNNNNNNNNNNNNNNNNNNNNNNNNNNNNNNNNNNNNNNNNNNNNNNNNNNNNNNNNNNNNNNNNNNNNNNNNNNNNNNNNNNNNNNNNNNNNNNNNNNNNNNNNNNNNNNNNNNNNNNNNNNNNNNNNNNNNNNNNNNNNNNNNNNNNNNNNNNNNNNNNNNNNNNNNNNNNNNNNNNNNNNNNNNNNNNNNNNNNNNNNNNNNNNNNNNNNNNNNNNNNNNNNNNNNNNNNNNNNNNNNNNNNNNNNNNNNNNNNNNNNNNNNNNNNNNNNNNNNNNNNNNNNNNNNNNNNNNNNNNNNNNNNNNNNNNNNNNNNNNNNNNNNNNNNNNNNNNNNNNNNNNNNNNNNNNNNNNNNNNNNNNNNNNNNNNNNNNNNNNNNNNNNNNNNNNNNNNNNNNNNNNNNNNNNNNNNNNNNNNNNNNNNNNNNNNNNNNNNNNNNNNNNNNNNNNNNNNNNNNNNNNNNNNNNNNNNNNNNNNNNNNNNNNNNNNNNNNNNNNNNNNNNNNNNNNNNNNNNNNNNNNNNNNNNNNNNNNNNNNNNNNNNNNNNNNNNNNNNNNNNNNNNNNNNNNNNNNNNNNNNNNNNNNNNNNNNNNNNNNNNNNNNNNNNNNNNNNNNNNNNNNNNNNNNNNNNNNNNNNNNNNNNNNNNNNNNNNNNNNNNNNNNNNNNNNNNNNNNNNNNNNNNNNNNNNNNNNNNNNNNNNNNNNNNNNNNNNNNNNNNNNNNNNNNNNNNNNNNNNNNNNNNNNNNNNNNNNNNNNNNNNAAACACUCCAUGGACUAUCCAUGAAAGCUUAGCCCAACCUAAAUGAACUUGGCCCACCAUAUAUAUAAAAGAGUUCAUAUUUAAUUAGUUCCUUUUUGAUCACUAAAUUAAUUCUAAAUUAAUUCUUGAUCAAUACUAAUUAAAUAAUAUGAUUCCAUAUUAAUAUAUUAGAACUUACAAUAUAAUAAUAUAAAUCAUAAACAUACUAUUCUCAAAAGACUAUCCAUAUAAAUUGUUCCGGUGAAGUGCAACCCAAAUGGACCAUGCUACUCUCGGGUCGAAUACAUACCAAUAAUAGUUAUGGGCUUAGACAUCUAAUCCAAUAGUCUCCCACUUGGAUAAGUCUAAAACUAUUAUUGCAUAUGACUCCAAGAUCCGGACUAGCAAUCGUAGCUCUUAAAGCCACUGUCGAACUCUGACCUAGUCAAAUGAAGUGUCCAUUAGAUAAGGGAUCAUAUAUUCCUCCAUUCUAGAUAUCAUAUGGACUGAUACAUGGAUUAUAAUCAUUCUCUAUGUCCAUUUGUUGUUUCCCGGUUUACGAUUUAUGACGACUGACUCAUUGAACAAAUCAAAUCAGUCCAGGCUUGGCCAAGCACUUAGGGGUGUCAUCACUAAAUCAUCGAGGAGCCCACAAAUAUCGCUCUUAUCCCUCCAAGGGUAAAAGGAAUGGAUAAAAUUUGACUCAUAUGCUUGUCCUACUACCUGUUGAAUCAUACACAAAGACACGUUUUAUAACAUCAAGUUACUGGUGCGUUUUCGUGCAAUCAAUGUAUAACCAACUCAUAGUUAACAACUCAUAUCUCUAGGUUUGAAGAAUAUAAGAUAUUAUCGUCUCAUGAUCACUCGUGAUAAAAUCCAUGAAGCGAUUCAAAUAAGCGUGGGUUAAUCCAAUACUCAUAACUUAUGAGCACCCAUGAAUGUUGUAACAACUCUUGCUAUGUACAACACCUUAGACAUCUACAAGCCAACUUCAUGACAUGCUUGCCUUAAUCCCUACUUCCAACGUAUUAUCGACUGUGGAUGGUUUGAAUAACUUAGUUAUUCAGGAAGAAUUACCCAAUUAUUCUGGAAGUCAAAACAUACAAAGUGAAACACAAGAAUAAUACUAAUUUAAUAUGGCCCCAAUCACCUUUGAGAGUAAAUAGAACACCUUUUAUUUAAACACCAUACUGAUUAAUCAUUAUUCAUUGUAUAAUGUUUCAAAUUUAUCAACUUAAUACUUGAAUUAAAACAAUAGUGGUCCCAUGCUCCAAACAUGUACACUAUGUUUUCUAAGCAAUAAUUAUGCCAUACACCAAGUAUGCACACUAUGUUUGUCUAUGAUCAUUACUUUGUGAAAUAGAUCAAUUGAACAUAAUUUCAAUGAUUCUCAUUUCACAAUACCAAAUCCUUACUGUAAAUAUAAGAAUUCCAAAUUCCUACCAUUUACCGAAAUUUGUUAGAUUAUAAACUUGUAUGCAUUGAUCCUCUCGUAAUGAAUAUGCACAAAGUCACAAAGACUUGUCAACAGACCUUACAAAGUAUUCCAAUGGAGAUCAUUCCAUGGAACCGAAGUCUCAAAUUCAAAGUAAACCUUAGAUUGUCCUCGACAAUUGCUUAAUCAAAUUAGUCAUAUCCAGUUCUAGUACUUUAUCCCUCUUAAUGCCCUGUGCAUUUGGAAAAAUUUAGAACAAAUGAAUAUUAUAACACAUGUAAUCGAUCCUAUAUCUGAAGCAUAUGGGACAAGAUUCAUGAUGCAUCACAUAAAGACAUGAUACUAGACCGGUCUUUUGCUAUAAUAUUUAUUUUUCUAUUUGCCAUGUUCUCAUAAUUCAGAUCAUGAAAAGAGAUGCCGUAAUCACAAUCGAAUUUUAGAACGCAAAUAAUGUUUCCAUAUAUAGAAUUUCCUUAUGUUGAACUAUUCCAACAUAACAUUCAUAUAUAUACUUGAUUAAAUUUGAUUAAAAUCUCACAAUCUAAGCUCUUAGAUUUGAAAUUAAGUAUAAUUUUCUCUCUCAAUUAUAGCAAAACAAUUUUUUCUCAAUUGAAACCUUUUGUUUUCUAUAAUUAACAUUGCUACCUUGCAGCACUUACCAUAAUUAUCAUGCUCCCACUAACAUGAUGACUAUUAGCAUAACACUUAUGCUCCCACUAGCUUUGACAUGUACUCAGAAAUCAGUUGGACUUCUAGAAAUCAAUACUUUAUUAACUUUCUUACCAGAGUUCAGAUUUAUGAUACGAGAUGCUUCGAUAAAACUUUAUCAAAAUCAUACACUUAUCCUUAGAUAUCACACAUAUGUGUCUAAACAACUUUGGAAUUAUGAAAAGGGAUGUCGUAAUCAUAGUCUCAAUUGUUUAUACCUUUGCCAUUCCUCGCAAGUCCAUGUUAGUGUGCCGGUUAACCACACACGCUCCAUUAACGACUUUGAGAAUGCAAAUAUCAUAAUUGCUAUUUACUUAAAAUCACUUAGUGAAAGCAUUUCCUCACCAUUAUUUUCAUGAAUCGGAGAGAAACCUUAUGACACUUAGAUUUUAUGGUGUAUGUGUUCCUAUCCAUGUGAAUUUGUCAAAACCAUAAUCACAAGACAAGGUUAGUGACAAGUCCAAACUCAUAUGGACUAAACUCGUGCAAUCUUAACUUCUUGCCACUUGGCAACCCAAGGGUCUGUCAUUGCUUCCAAGUUGUUAUGCAACAAAUUGAGAACUUUUAGAACUCAUAUGUAAAGCCAACUUUAACUAGAAUGGGCACAAAAAUAGGAAUAUGUCAACACGAUAGGUUAUAAAUCUCUAGUUGUGUGCUAGUGAUAAACUACAAGUUUUAUUCUUGAAUAGAUCUUGAAAUUCUUUCAGGAUCUUUAAUACUCCCAAUGUCCUCUUGACAAAUAAGACUCUCUUGCCAAAUAUUCAAGAUAUAGUGCAGAUUCUUUAUCAAGACAAACACUUCACACAAUUGACCUUAGUUGGUCUUUGUUUUAUCCAAAACAUCACAACUUACCAAUUUCAAAUGUACAAGAGUAUAACACAUUUUACUUUUACAUUUGACAAGUGUUGAUAAGCCUUCUUUAAGAUGUGUCACUCAAGUUAUAAUCUUGGGGUAUGACUCUAAGACUUGUUUUGGAACGAAGUAUGACUCAUCUUCUUGAUUUAACCACUUUAACAAUUCAUGACCUCUCUUCUUAGCCAUAAGAAUGCAUUAAGAUGUCCUUAGAGGAUGAAUUAUGAUAUGGUCUCAAAAUCAUUAAGAUGAUCAUAAACAUGAUACUAAAGUACUUUUCCAUCUUUUCAGAUUUGAGAAACUUUUGUCUUUCUGCCAAACUUGAUUCCUCUCAUUCGUUCUGCCACACAUCGAAACUUUUCCAAUCUUUCAAAAUUAUACUUAAACUUCUAAGUAUAACCAUAUUCACUAAACUUUAGUAAAUCAUAACAAAUAGUCUUAUCGAUCUUUUGUGGCGGACCUGACCAUCGCACAACCAAGUGUACCCAAUCCCUUUGUUCUUCACUUGACUCACAUAUACAUGUGAAUAAGGAAUUAGUCUUAAUUUUCCAAAGAUGAAAAAUCUCAUUCAUCAUACAACUUGCAUGAUUCCAAGUUUCGGUCCAAUUGAAAACUUGGGUGAUGAGAAUCUUUCCUUAUUUGGUAAAUUUAGACACUACCACAAAUGAAAGAAUCAAAUUAAUAUUUCCAUUAUUGCUAGAAACAUGUAAACAUCAAUUUUCCAUAAAUGUCAUUGCAAGGAGAUACAAAAUAAAGCAAAACAAAAUUUUAUUUAUUUAUAAGUGCAGAAAAAACUUUUUCCUUACAAUGCAACUUUAAAUGAAAACUAUGUUAUUACAUAUUUUCUAGCAAUCUAUCAUAACUCCUAAGCAAGGUUCUAAAUAACGUAAGGCGUGACUUGGCGGCAAUGUCAAGCCUCAAGCUUUUCCGAGCCUUGGCGAGUCACGAUGUUUGUAAGGCGUGACUUAAGGCGGCAAUUUUCUAUAUAAUUAAUAUUUUUAUAUGUAUUUUCAACUAUUAUUCAUUUUUAUACAAAUAUAUGAGUUAAGGCAGCGUUUUGGCAAAGCUUGGCGGCAUGUGCAAACCUUGGAGUUGUGGCGUGCCAUGGCGGAGCCAUGGCGAGCUUUUUAGAACCUUGCUCCUAAGUACUAGCUCAAGAAUCCGAUCUUCAAACCAUGCGAUCGAAAUCCAUCUUCACGAUCAGAUUCAGCAUACUCUUUCUUUAAGUUUCCUCCCCUUUGCUUGAUCAUGCCAAACAUAAAAGUGUAACCGAGUCACAUUUUGUAUUAAGAGUCGUCAAUUAGGAACUUAACAAAGUUAGAUAUUGGACUUUACCUGAAGUAGAGUCAAACUUUUUGACUUUACCAUCCUUAUGAUCUUUCAGGUAAAUUUUGCAGCUUCGCAACCAAUGCCCCUUCCUUUGCCAAUAGAAACAUUUGGACUCUCUGGGAAUGGUACACGGGACAAUCUCAGACUUAGCCUUUCUCUUUACCAUUUGGUCAACCGAGUUGACUAUGGCCGAUCCCUUUCCAUUGGGAAGAGAAAGCUUUUCUGGAUAUCCAAUGUUACCAAUUGUUAAUGUCCAUGGUAGUUUGGGAAGUUGAUCUUCUAAUUAUAUUUGCUUUACUAGAGCUCCAAAUCAUUGUUGAUUCAGCAACACCAAGCAAAUAGAUAAGAUCAUUAAGGGUCAUGUCAUAGUCUGUUACAUAGUAAUCCUUAAAGAACUCACUAUGUGACAUAGAAAGUGAUCGAAGAACCAAGUCAACAACCAACUUCCUCAAGACUUUGAAACCCAACUCUCCUGACUUGUCAAUAUGUGACUUCAUCUCCAAGAUGUGAGCAUACAUAGACUUUGCUUGCCAAUAGGGCUUGAGUGACCUUGAACUUUUCAAGAACUUGUGGGUUAAGGAGAAUAAUUGGAGGAGGUGGAGGAAGAGAAGUACAAUUUCCAUUUACCAACCACAAAACAUCAUCUUUAUUAGGAAAGCUUGUUCCAAAAGAUUUGGGAAGAUCAUAGUUGUCUGAACCAGACAUCUAUAAUGGGAGAAAUUCAAGUUAGUUGAUUUAAAGUUCUUAAUAUAACACCUAACAUGAAAUAUUAAGUAUAGGACCCAACACAAUGUUUUAUAACUUUGAAGAGGGAUGCCGUAAUCCAAGCUAUAAAAUAUUUGAAAGUAGGCGAAUGACGAUUCACCAAUUUCCACCAUGAAAAACGAAAUAAUUUAUUAGGUUUUAAUUGGAUUUGAAAUUCCUAGAUCUUUUGAGAUUCAUUGAACUUUUCAAUGACAUGUUUCAAUCUCGAUUGUGCCCUCUCAAGUUUUGUGACUGGGAUGACGAGGAUCACAAAACAAGAUGUGAAUAACCAUGAAAAUAUACUUGGUACCCUUAAUAUUUAUCACUUAAUCGAUGUGCCGGUUAACCACACGCGCUCCACCGAUUCUAUGAUAAACAUUAAGUUACCCUUUUCCUACCUUGUUAAAUCCAGGCUAGUGUGCCGGUUAACCACAUGUGCUCCACUACCGAGUUAAGCAAAGUGCAAAGUGUAAUUUCAUGGGUUAGCACCAAAUUCACAUUUUCCUAAAGUAACUAAGAUUGGGAAUUUAAAAAGGUUUAGUUACUUUAUAUUUAUCAUUAUACGUAUAAUGAAGGGAGAAUUAUAGUCCUAUCCUACCCGUUCGGCUAACGACACUCCACCAGUCAAGGAAGUCAUGGGUGAGAGUGGACGCCCAUUAAACUGCCAUUUUAUAGGCAGUAACCUUAUACCCCCUUAUAGACCGACUUCGUGAAUGAGGCCUACUAAUGGUAAGACUGACUUUAUUCUUAUAUAUAUAUAUAUAUAUAUAUAUAUAUAUAUAUNUAUAAGGGUUUAAUUUUAACUUUUAAAAUUCUAAGGACUUAACUUGGAAUUAAAGUAUUCAUGAGGGGAAACUUUACAAAUUCCAAAACCUGAGGGCAAGUUUUGAACUAUUCAAAACUUUUGGAUUUUCAUAGCUUAUGAGUUUAAUUAAGGUUUUGAAAAAACUUUAAUGAAGAGACUUUUGAUCAUGCAUAAUUUGAGGACAAGUUAUGGAGUUCAUAGAACAAUUUAUGAUGAAAAAGACUCUUUAAUUGUGUAACCUAUGAAUUUUAAUGGAUCUUUAAAAGAAACGACUUUUGGUAAUCGAUAACUUGAGAACAAAUUAUGGACUACAUUAAAAUAAAUUUAGAUCAAGAAUUAAUUAACAACCAAUUUGCAAAUAAUUCCUAUGAUCUACCAAAACUCAUAAGUGUAUGAACAAUCAUAUCAACAAUUUCAAGAAGUACAUAAACACACAUAAAACUUGAAAUUUUGAUAACAACCUUGAAAUUGGUGAACCNGUUUACCAUAAUCAUUACCACAUCAAAAAACAGGUUUUAUAAGUCCAAAACAGUUUAAGGUAAUGAUUUUAGACCAAUUUCAGCCUUAAAACUCGAAGAUAUUUUGUCAGGGGGUCCAACUCAUCAAGUGUAGGAACCAACUCGACGAGUUGGAUGACUUUAGGCAUGGACUCGUCGAGUCCCUUAAUGGAAUCAGCGAGUCAGCUGUCCAGACAACAUACAAACUACGAUUUUUAGCUAUUUGCAUCAAGUAUAAAUGAAAACAAGACUAGGCUCUGAUACCACUGAUUGGUUUUGAGCAUUCUAACACUCCUAUGGUGUACAUGCAACCCUAUAAACCUUGGAUCUAUGUUUUCUCUAUUAUACAUGCAAAUAUUUGAUAUUCCAAGGUUUCAUCCUAACUAGCAUAAUAUGAAGCAGCUAUACUAUAAAAUCCUAGUUAGAUGACAUACCUUUUGAUGUAGCUUGAAGUCUUGAACUUUAAGAGCUUAGCCCCAAUAGUGUGGAAGCCUCAAGUGGAAUCACAAAUCACCCAAAACACCUUGGAAAACAUGCAAGAAUAGAAUGCACACUAGAAAUUGUCUCACUCUUGUAUCUUCACACACUAGUCCAUUUCAUGUGCCAAAGACCUCUUUAUAUAGUAUGGAGGAUUAGGGUUACAUUCAUGUAAACCCUAAUACCCAUGACCUUUCAUUUCCAUAGGAUUCACAGGUUAAAAACUCCAUGGACUAUCCAUGAAAGCUUGGCCCAACCUAAAUGAACUUGGCCCAUGCUAUAUAUAUACGAGUCCAUAUUUAAUUAGUUUCUUUUUUAUCACUAAAUUAAUUCUAAAUUAAUUAUUGAUCAAUGCUAAUUAAAUAAUAUGAUUUCAUGUUAAUAUAUUAGAACUUAUAAUAUAUUAAUAUAAAUCAUAAACAUACUUUUCUAAAAAGACUAUCCAUAUAAAUUGUUCCGGUGAAGUGCAACCCAAAUGGACCAUGCAACUCUCGGGUCGAAUACAUACCAAUAAUAGUUAUGGGCUUAGACAUCCAAUCCAACAAAAGAUGAUGUGAAACCCAGCCGAACCUUUUAAAAAAGGUCUAUCCUACAAGCCACUUUACCAACUGACAGAAUCCUGAUGAUCCAACGUAUCAAAAACCCAACUUUCCCUCCUUCUGAGGCGAACCCUUUAUGCUGACGGGACAUUUGUCCCACAACAUCAUACAAAAAUCAAUCCACUGAAACACGAACACCCAUGACUGGCCUAAUCAGCCUCGGGCUGGAAUACCAGGCAUGCCUACGACGGGUCCAGUCAUCCCUAGGAUGGAAUACCCUCGCGUCCUACAAGUGAAUCCCAAUUCAUACACAUACUUCAACUCUUCCUGCUACCAUAUGAUGUUUCCCAGACGAAUUCGAAACCUCCCUGGUCCCACUUGUCUGUCCACUACCCGCAACACCGGACGCCUCACUGAUUACUGAACCAAAAGACCUACACAAACAUCAUUCCCAUGCGUCUCCCGAAAAGUAAACUGACUGGCUGGACUUGCUUCCACGCCCUGCUAUCAGCCUCUGCUAACACAAGGAACGCUACAUGACCCACGGCAGCCUCAUAUCCUACCUGAUCUCCAGCGACCCAUCUCUUCCUCAUUUCAGACACACUAUGGCUCUUCCACAUAUUAAAUCAACCCAAGACACGUCACAAUAACUCGAACCAUUGUCAACAUACCUACCACUACUGGCCCACCAGUAUGCCGCUCAUAUCUAGCCUAUACCAACCUUCGGGCGGGAAUACCAAUAUGCCAAGUCCAAUUGAUCAUAGGGUCCGGUCAUCCUCGAGAUGGAAUACCCUAUAUUGGAAUACCAACAUGUUAAAUCAAUUCGACUAUCUAUUUGGUUUUCUUAGGGUUUGUUGGCUUACCGCCUCAACCCCAUCGCUCCUUUUGAGCCUCCGUGCCUACGACUUUUAGUCGGCCCACACCGGGUAUCUUGGCCUACUGCAUAGGGCUGAGGCGGUUCGGCCUGCUGCUAGUGACUCGGCGAGUUGGCGAGUUAUGCAAGGAACUCGGCGAGUAGCUUAGGGUACUCGACGAUUUGAGGUCAAUAUGGACUAUUGACCUUGACCGUUAACUUUGACUUUGACCAAGGGUUGACCAGUUUGACUUUUGAGGAUAAUUGGUAAGCGAGUAUUUAUGAAUUGGAUCAUUGAUGGUUAUAGGUGUUGGAGUUUGGGGCAGUGUUUCGGGAGCGUGAUUUCGUGGUUCAGUCUGACAUUACAAAGUGAGUUAUCCUCAUUAUAUCAACAGGGUCUAAGGCACCAAGGUCGGCCCUUUAUCGGAUUUGUAUCUGGGUAUUUGUUUGAUAUGUUUAUUGAUCUGCUAGAUCUGCAUCCUGGUAGAUAGGGUGGUAUUAUAUUAGUGGCCUAGUUUAGGUUGGUAUCCAGGAAUAUAGGAUGAUGUUAUGUUAGUGACCGGUUAGGUCGGUAUCCUGGUUAUAGGAUGGUUGUUGUGUUAGUGAUCUAUUAGAUCGGUAUGAUUAUUUGUUAUAUACAUGCUAGCGUAGGAUAUUUAUGUGCACAUGAUUGUUUGAUUGGUAUGGGGGUUGGGUUGAGGCGGGUCCUGCUUCGUGUUGUAGGCCAACAUACCCUGGAUGGACCGGAUAGACUGUGGGCACAGGAGGGCACCAAGUCAGGCCGAAGGCCCGACGAGCGGUUCGGAUAGGCUGAAGGCCCUGAGAGGGCGGUCCAGACGUGUCGAGGCUUGGAGAGUGGGCCAGAUAGACUGAAGGUCCGGUGCGGGCGGUCCAGUCAUACUGUAGACUCAGAGGUGGACCAUGUGGACUAAAGGCCCGGUGCGGGCGAACCAGUCACACUGUAGACUCGUGAUGCAUGGUUGUUCUGUACUUAUAUGUUUAUAUGAUAUGAUUAUCUGUAUGGCAUUGGUAUUUUGGGGGUACCUCACUAUGCUUUUGGGCUUACAGUUUCAGGUUCAGCAGAUGGUCGUGGGAAGGCGAAGGCGUGACAAUACACUUCCUUGAUUGAUGAUUAUUAUUUAUGGGAACUCUGAUGUUUAAACUAUGUUGAAAACAAAUUGUAAUAAUUGAAUGGUUUUAAAUGUUUUAAAUUUUUUUAAAUUACCUCGAAUUUUAUGGAUGUUUCAAACCAUCGUAUAACCAGGAUACUGACCUAACCGGUCACUAACAUAACAUCAUCCUAUAUGCCAAGAUACCAACCUAAACCAUGCCAUUAAUAUAAUACUAUCCUAUCUACCAAGAUGCAGAUCUAGCAGAUCAAUAAACAUAUCAAGCAAAUACCAAGAUACAAAUCUGAUAAAGGGCCGACCUUGGUGCCUUAGACCCUGUUGAUAUAGUGAGGAUAACUUACCUUGCAAUGCCGGACUAAACCACGAAAUCACUCUCCCGAAACACUGCCCCAAACUCCAACACCUAUAACCAUCAAUGAUCCAAUUCAUAAAUAUCCGUUUACCAAUUAUCCUCAAAAGUCAAACCGGUCAACCCUUGGUCAAAGUCAAAGUUAACGGUCAAGGUCAACAAUCCAUGUUGACCUCAACUCGCCGAGUACCCUUAGCUACUCGCCGAGUUCUUUUCAUAACUCGCCAACUCGUCGAGUCACUAGAGUGACUCAUCACGUUCACAAGGUUUGCGCUUGUAAACUCCUUGGCCGACUCGUCGAGUCUCCCUUGCAACUUGCCUAGUUCAUACAUGUCCAAAGGUUGGGAAACCCUAGCCGACUCGCCAACUCACUCAUUUGACUCGCCCAGUCCAUGACAAUCUUCAUCAGACUCGCCGAGUUGACCAUGCAACUCACCGAGUCCCUUCAGUCCUUCAUCCAUACAGAAGCUUCUUCGUGAAACCAAGGCUCCAAGCUGUAGAUCUAGGCUCCUAGGGUGUUGUUAUCACGUAAAGUUGCUAACUUUACGUGCAUGCAAGGCUCUAUGGAACUAAAACACUCAUAACUAGCAUUAGGAGAAGGUUUUGGACAUGAAGGAGGUUCAAAGCUUCAUAAAGCUUGAGGCUUUCUGUCCACAAAGCCUAGGGGAGUCAAGAUCUGAAACUUUGCCCUUGUGACAAGCUCAAAACCGAAAAUGAAUCUAUCUUGCCCUAGAAAUGACCAUUUUCUUCCACAAAGGGGAGACCUAAGCAAUGAAAAGUAAAGGUGGUAGCUUUAUACCUUAAUCUUGAUGCCACAAUACUGGAAAGGCUGGAUCUACAAGAUCUUUCUUGUCUCAAGCUCUCAACGCUUCAAGAAAUGCUCCAAAACACUCUCUUUUGGUCUCACGCACUCAAGAAUAUAUACUAGCUGGCUAUUAGGGUUUCUCUAGACGUGAAGGUGACAAGGGAGGUUGGGAAGGAAAGUUAAGGACCUUUAAAUAGGGUGCAAAACCCUGGAAUUAGGGUUUCAUCCUCCAGCUCCUACUCGUCGAGUCCCUUCUUGGACUCGGCGAGUAGGUCACUUAAACACGUGGACCAACCUGCUGCUACUCGGUGAGUCAGGCAACUAACUCUUCAAGUAGACCUUGAAAUCAUGAGAAAUAAUAACCACAAAUUGAUACUUGGGAAUCGGGGCGUUACACUUAAUCGGAGAUACGAACAUUUCUUUGCUCAACAAGGUGAGUUUCUUAUCCAAACAUUCAAUAAGUUUAAUUAUUUGGUUAAUAAUAUGUGUAUGAUAGGAAUCAUCAAACACUCAUGACAGGUGGUUUUGAAGUUUCUCGAUUCUCUUGGGAAAAGUUGGGAGCAUCACGUUGAUGUUCUUAAGAAUGGUGAGAAGAUCGAUACCAUGGAUCUAAAUUCAUUGUUCGAUAACCUGCGAAAUUAUAAAGAGACCAAAGCUCUUCAUAUUGAAAUCAUGAAGGACUACAACAAGGAAAAAUUUGUUGCCCUGGUGUCUCAAAAGGAAGCAAGGAAGACCAUCAACAACUCAAUAUUUCAGAUCAGGGUGAAGAAAGUGAUGAAGAUCUCACCGAUAAGCUUGUUUCCAGCGCUGCACUUAUCGUCAAGCACUACGAAGAAAGUAGAGUAGAUGGCGUUAGAAGAGUUGAGUUCAAGGGACGCAAUUCAGCAAGGAGAUCCACUUCCGAAAAGAGAAACUCAUGUAAUUACUUUAAUUAUAGUAGACCUUACCAUUUUUCCAGGGAUUUCAAGGAUAAGAAAGAAGCCCAGAGCCAUGAGAACUAUGAAGUCUUGUAUAAAAAGCUAGUGGCUCAUAUGAAGAAGGAAAACAUCUCUUUAUCAAAAGAUUUCAUUGCAAAAGAAGAUCACGAAGAAUGGGUGGAUGAAGAGAGGACAUCUGAAGAUGAGGGACCUGACUGGUUUGUGACACUGAUGGUUGUCACGCUGGUAAAGGAUCAAGUCCAAAUCUAUGUCAAAGUUGGUACCGAGAUAGUAGAAGCUCUAGACACCUGACUGGUUACAAGUCCCUUUUAACAGAUUUUGCAGAUAAGGAUGGUCCAAUGGUAACUUUUGGUGACAAUAGUGGAAGAGAUAUUACAGGCGUUGGAACUUUUGAAUGUAGGACAAUUAAGCUGGAGGACAUGUGUUAUGUAGAAGGUCUGAAAGGCAACUUCAUCUCUAUCAGUCAACUUUGUGAUGUUGGUUACAAAGUUCUUUUUAAUCGUCAUCAGGAAAAGGUGUUUGAUUAUGAGAACAAAAUUGUGCUUUCAGCUCUCAAGGAAAACUAUAUUUAUAUGGUUUUGAUUUAUUGGUUUAGACGGUGAUACAUUAUUUUUGUUAUAUGCUUUGCUACUCUUAAAUUUUUUAACAUAAGUUGCUACACUUUUAUUUUUGGUUUGUUUGCAUUAAAAUCUUCUUUUAUACUUUACCAAAGGAGUAUACUUUAUACAUUUUUCUACUAACAUUUCCUACAUGAUCUUCUCUAUCCAUAGUGACCUUAUCUGACCGAUCUACUUCGAAGGGAUCAACAUGUCAUUUCUUGAAUGCAUCACUCUCAUUGUAAGAGCCAGUUGAUGCUGACUCUGCAUCUUUUCUUCAGCAACAACUUCCCUCUCACUGACGUUGAUGCACACACUGAUUGACAUGUUGAUUUAUGCUGAUAAGACCAUAUGGGAGAUAAUUGUGCCACCAAGUGUUGUUCUAGGUACAUAUCUCUUCUAUCUUGAACAACCUAUUUCUGUUUCAACGAGAUGAGAUGAAGUUAGGUGACCUAGCACGACUAAUUUCCAGAAACGUUAUCACUACAAACUCAUCACCUCAAAGAUCCAAAGACAUCCUCAACAAGACAGUGAUCCCACAUUUUCUUCCUUCAUGGAUCACAAUGAAUGGAACCUUCGAGUAUUGUCUUUGUGACUCUCAUAACUCAAAGGUUACAAAGAUUGGAUCCCUCUAACUUGUUGGUUACAAAGACUGGUUUAUGUUCUUCUUUUUUUCUUGGUGAACAUGAAGCUUGGACUCAAUUUGCAGAACCUCAACGAUUAAAGGCAUUAUAUCUUCUUGUUUACUAUGAAUUGUGUUGCUUUUAUGUGAUAUGGAAUCAUUUUUCUUUUUCUUCCAUUUCUUGGGGCAUUAUAAGAUAGAAUGUAUUGUCCUUAACCACAUUUGCUUUGCAAUCUUUGGCAAAGUGAUUUUCUUUAUUACAUUUGUGGCAGAUGAUGACUUCACUUUUCCCUUCAAUUGAGGUGGUUUGUUGGACUAUGGUGCCUCUUUGAAAUGACGUGCAUUCUGCAGUUGCGGUGGAUGGCGAGGGUUUCGAGGAUAUCGUGAGUGGUUAUACUACUGAUUGAAGUUACGGUUAAAAGGUAGUUUUGUGAAUUGCUGAUUCUUACAAAAUGAGGUUGGUGGUAGUCGGUUGGAUUGCUGGCUAACCAGGGCAAUGACAUUUUGGAAUUCUUCUUUAUCAUCCAUUUCAACAUCAGCUUCAUAUGAUUGCGGUGGGUUAUCAUAUGAAAUUGGGUAGGAUGAUUCGGUAUGAGUAUUGUGAGGUUUUGGUUUGUGGAGUUUGAGUUAUCAGGGCAAGUGGUCCGCCGAGGUCACCACAAUCUUUUAGCACAAUUGAUUCUUGUGCCUGAAGUUCUCCAUGUAUUUUGAACAAAGACAAAGUAUGGAUCUUUUUAUCUUUUUGUAUAAUCAUUUUUGCGGUAGACCAAUGUCUUCCCAAACCAUUGAGAAACUGUAGGUUUGUUUCGUGAUUGCUUCAAACUGUACUAGCAUUUAAUAAUUUUGUAACGAUGAGACUGAAUCGUUUGAACGAGUCGUCUAGACUUUCACCAGGAAGAGCUUUGAAAUUGUUGAACUCAUUGAGAGCAGUGAUGAGUUUCUUAUCAUGUGCUUGUUCCGACCCUUGAUAGAGUUUUUUAAGCACAUCCCAAAUCUCCUUAGCAGAUUAGCAGUUGACGAUGAUGUCAAAGUUUUCUGGAGCUACACCGCAAGAGAUUUCAUAGAAGGCUAUAGCAUCAUUUUCCAUUUUGUCAAGAACAUCUUUGGUUGGUCGAUUCAUUGCAGUCAGAACUUCACCUAGUCUGGCUUGAGUACCAUCUGCUUGAACAGGAGUAAGAACAGGGACAUGAGGUCCUUCUUCCACAGAUCUCCACACAUCUCUUCCAAGCCUCUUAAGAUACCUUUUCAUUCUCAGGUAGCUUGUCUACAUAAGACCCCUCACUUAUGGCUAGGAAGUGAGCAAUCUUCGUCAAAUGAUCCACUAUCACCCAAAUAGCAUCAAAACCCCUUGCAAUCUUUGGAAAUUUUGUAAUAAAAUCCAUCGUGAUCUGCUCCCACUUCCAUAGUGGAACCUCCAAGGGCUGCAACUUUCCGUGAGGGUCCUGGUGCUUGGCCUUGACCAUCCGGCAGGUCAAGCAUCGCUCUACAAACCAAGACCCAUCCCUUUUAAUACAUGGCCUCCAAUAACUAUGCUUCAGAUCAGGGUACAUAUUGGUAGCCUCGAGAUGAAUGGGGAAUCUCAACUUGAGGGCCUCCUCCAUUAAUACCCGUCAAGCCCCACCUGCAUACGACACCCAAACCCAUCCAUAAAGAGUCAAAAGUCCCCUAAUGUCAACGUCAAAGGCGAAAAUUUUACCAACCAUCCUAUCACUCUUUCGGUUCUCUUCCUUAAUGGCCUCUGACUGUGCUUCCUUGAUCGCUUCCAUCCUCAAACAUACAUCCUGAAUCAAGGCACUUACUGUUCUUCGAUUCAAGGCAUCAACCACCUCAUUGGCCUUGCCUAGGUGUUAGAGAAUCUCACGAUCAUAAUCUUUCACUACAUCAUACCACCUACUCCGCCUCAUGUUCAGGUUAGGCUGAUCCAUAAGAUAUCUCAGGCUCUUAUGUUCCGUGUAUAUGGUACAUUGGACAGCAUAAAGAUAGUGGCGCCAAAUCUUGAGAGAGAACACCACUGC
RNAcentral lists this long non-coding RNA (24079 nucleotides) under Lactuca sativa (garden lettuce). Its description in RNAcentral is "long non-coding RNA (LSAT_LNC005804)". Lineage: Eukaryota; Viridiplantae; Streptophyta; Magnoliopsida; Asterales; Asteraceae. The record is from RNAcentral.